Molecule: ribosomal RNA, 464 nt
Filed under: uncultured bacterium
Lineage: Bacteria
Description: partial 16S ribosomal RNA
Rfam family: Bacterial small subunit ribosomal RNA
Source: RNAcentral
GACGAACGCUGGCGGCGUGCUUAACACAUGCAAGUCGAACGGAAAGGCCCCUUCGGGGUACUCGAGUGGCGAACAGGUGAGUAACACGUGAGUAACCUGCCCUUGACUUCGGGAUAACUUCAGGAAACUGGGGCUAAUACCGGAUAGGAAUCCUUGCUGCAUGGUGGGGGUUGGAAAGCUUCGGCGGUUUUGGAUGGACUCGCGGCUUAUCAGCUUGUUGGUGGGGUAGUGGCUUACCAAGGCUUUGACGGGUAGCCGGCCUGAGAGGGCGACCGGCCACAUUGGGACUGAGAUACGGCCCAGACUCCUACGGGAGGCAGCGGUGGGGAAGAUUGCACAAUGGGCGGAAGCCUGAUGCAGCAACGCCGCGUGCGGGAUGACGGCCUUCGGGUUGUAAACCGCUUUCAGCAGGGGCGAAGCUUGUGGUGACGGUACCUGCAGAAGAAGCACCGGCUAACUACGUG